GGGGUUGGGGCUCAGUGGUAGAGCGCUCGCCUAGGAUGCUUGAGGCACUGAGUUCGAGCCUCAGCACCA
RNAcentral lists this transfer RNA (69 nucleotides) under Ictidomys tridecemlineatus (thirteen-lined ground squirrel). RNAcentral describes it as "Spermophilus tridecemlineatus (thirteen-lined ground squirrel) tRNA". It matches the Rfam family "tRNA". From Rfam's summary of the family: Transfer RNA (tRNA) molecules are approximately 80 nucleotides in length. Their secondary structure includes four short double-helical elements and three loops (D, anti-codon, and T loops). Lineage: Eukaryota; Metazoa; Chordata; Mammalia; Rodentia; Sciuridae. The record is from Rfam by way of RNAcentral.